RNAcentral lists this ribosomal RNA (507 nucleotides) under uncultured marine eukaryote. RNAcentral's name for it is "SSU rRNA". It matches the Rfam family "Eukaryotic small subunit ribosomal RNA", at positions 616 to 1130 of the family's 1831-position model. The record is from RNAcentral.
CGGUAAAAAGCUCGUAGUUGGAUUUCUGUUGAGGGUGACCGGUCCACACAAUGUGUGCGCAUCUGGUUCGGCCUCGGCAUCCUCUCGAGAGACGUUUCUGCGCUUGAUUGCGUGGUGCGGAACUCGGGACUUUUACUUUGAGGAAAUUAGAGUGUUCACGGCAGGCCAUCGCCAGAAUACAUUAGCAUGGAAUAAUACUAUAGGAUCUCGGUUCUAUUUUGUUGGUUUCUAGAGUUGAGAUAAUGGUUAAUAGGGACAAUUGGGGGCAUUCGUAUCAACACGUCAGAGGUGGAAUUCUUGGAUUGUGUUGCGACGAACUACUGCGAAAGCAUUUGCCAAGGAUGUUUUCAUUGAUCAAGAACGAAAGUAAGGGGAUCGAAGACGAUUAGACACCGUCGUAGUCUUUACCAUAAACUAUGCCAACUAGAGAUGGGGCAUCGUUCAUAUACGACUUGCUCCGCACCUUAUGAGAUAUCAAAGUCUUUGGGUUCCGGGGGGAGUAUGGUC